CGGAAGAAGCAUUGUUAAGGAACUCGGCAAAAUGACCCCGUAACUUCGGGAGAAGGGGUGCCUGCGAGAGCAGGCCGCAGAGAAUAGGCUCAAGCAACUGUUUAGCAAAAACACAGGUCUAUGCGAAACCGAAAGGUGAGGUAUAUGGGCUGACGCCUGCCCGGUGCUGGAAGGUUAAGAGGAGAGGUUAGCGCAAGCGAAGCUUUGAAUUUAAGCCCCAGUAAACGGCGGCCGUAACUAUAACGGUCCUAAGGUAGCGAAAUUCCUUGUCGGGUAAGUUCCGACCCGCACGAAAGGCGUAAUGAUUUGAGCACUGUCUCGACAAUGCAUCCGGUGAAAUUGAAGUACCAGUGAAGAUGCUGGUUACCUGCGCCAGGACGGAAAGACCCCAUGGAGCUUUACUCCAGCUUGAUACUGGGAUUCGAUACUGUAUGUACAGGAUAGGUGGGAGACGUUGAGCAUAGAACGCCAGUUUUAUGUGAGUCGCUGUUGGGAUACCACCCUUGCAGUAUUGGAUUUCUAACCUGCACCCAUGACCUGGGUGGGGGACAAUGUCUGGCGGGGAGUUUGACUGGGGCGGUCGCCUCCGAAAGGGUAUCGGAGGCGCUCAAAGGUUCCCUCAGAAUGGUUGGAAACCAUUCGAAGAGUGCAAAGGCAGAAGGGAGCUUGACUGCGACACCGACGGGUGGAGCAGGUACGAAAGUAGGACUUAGUGAUCCGGUGGUAUAAAGUGGGAUUGCCAUCGCUCAACGGAUAAAAGCUACCCUGGGGAUAACAGGCUUAUCACUCCCAAGAGUUCACAUCGACGGAGUGGUUUGGCACCUCGAUGUCGGCUCAUCGCAUCCUGGGGCUGUAGCAGGUCCCAAGGGUUGGGCUGUUCGCCCAUUAAAGCGGUACGCGAGCUGGGUUCAGAACGUCGUGAGACAGUUCGGUCCCUAUCCGGCGCAGGCGGAGGAUAUUUGAGAGGAGCUGUCCUUAGUACGAGAGGACCGGGAUGGACGGACCACUGGUGUAUCUGUUGGCUAUCAGAGCCAUGGCAGAGUAGCCAAGUCCGGCAGGGAUAAACGCUGAAGGCAUCUAAGCGUGAAGCCCCCCUCAAGAUGAG
RNAcentral lists this ribosomal RNA (1105 nucleotides) under human metagenome. RNAcentral describes it as "bacterial LSU rRNA". It matches the Rfam family "Bacterial large subunit ribosomal RNA", at positions 1691 to 2808 of the family's 2925-position model. The record is from RNAcentral.